RNAcentral lists this non-coding RNA (45 nucleotides) under Schistosoma mansoni. Lineage: Eukaryota; Metazoa; Platyhelminthes; Trematoda; Strigeidida; Schistosomatidae. The record is from RNAcentral.
AUCCAGUUGAUGAGUCCCAAAUAGGACUGAAAGAGCGUCCUGGAU